GUUUUUUUUUUCAAGCAGAAGACGGCAUACGAGAUGUGACUGGAGUUCAGACGUGUGCUCUUCCGAUCUCUCCACCCAGACUCAUCCAUUAAUUCCCAUAUAGAGAGUUUCUGUUGGUGCUUAGAUGUGAUGCCGAGCCGAUUGUGGUGAAGUGGAUGAUCCUAUGCUGCCGAGAAAAGCCUCUAGUGAGUGUUGUGGCGGCCCGUACCCUAAACCGACUCAGGUGGUCAGGUAGAGAAUACCAAGGCGAUCGGGUGAACCGUGGUUAAGGAACUCGGCAAAUUGCCCCCGUAACUUCGGGAGAAGGGGGACCUCUGUUGGUGAUGGGCUUUACGCCUGGAGCUGGUGGGGGUCCCAGUGGCCAGGGGGAAGCGACUGUUUACUAAAAACACAGGUCCGUGCGAAGUCGUAAGACGAUGUAUACGGACUGACGCCUGCCCGGUGCCGGAACGUUAAGGGGACCGCUUAGCUGACGUGAGUUGGCGAAGGUGAGAACUUAAGCGCCGGUAAACGGCGGUGGUAACUAUAACCAUCCUAAGGUAGCGAAAUUCCUUGUCGGGUAAGUUCCGACCUGCACGAAUGGCGUAACGACUUCCCCGCUGUCUCAACCGCAGACCCGGCGAAAUUGCACUACGAGUAAAGAUGCUCGUUUCGCGCAGCAGGACGGAAAGACCCCGGGACCUUCACUACAGCUUGACAUUGGCGUUUGGAACGUCUUGUGUAGGAUAGGUGGGAGACUGGGAAGCUGUCACGCUAGUGAUGGUGGAGUCAUUGGUGAAAUACCACUCUGGUCGUUUUGAACGUCUAACUCUGGUCCGUGAUCCGGAUCGGGGACAGUGUCUGGUGGGUAGUUUAACUGGGGCGGUUGCCUCCUAAAGAGUAACGGAGGCGCCCAAAGGUUCCCUCAGCCUGGUUGGCAAUCAGGUGUUGAGUGUAAGUGCACAAGGGAGCUUGACUGUGAGACUGACAGGUCGAGCAGGAGCGAAAGCUGGGACUAGUGAUCCGGCAUCGGCGUGUGGAAGCGGUGUCGCUUAACGGCUAAAAGGUACCCCGGGGAUAACAGGCUGAUCUUCCCCAAGAGUCCAUAUCGACGGGAUGGUUUGGCACCUCGAUGUCGGCUCGUCGCAUCCUGGGGCUGGAGUAGGUCCCAAGGGUUGGGCUGUUCGCCCAUUAAAGCGGUACGCGAGCUGGGUUUAGAACGUCGCGAGACAGUUCGGUCCCUAUCCGCUGCGCGCGCAGGAGACUUGAAGGGGGCUGUCCCUAAUACGAGAGGACCGGGACGGACGAACCUCUGGUGUGCCAGUUGUACCGCCAGGUGCACGGCUGGUUGGCUACGUUCGGAAGGGAUAACCGCUGAAAGCAUCUAAGCGGGAAGCUCGCCUUGAGAUGAGGUCUCCCACCACGAGAGUGGGUAAGGCUCCCGGUAGACGACCGGGUUGAUAGGCCGGAGGUGGAAGCACGGUAACGUGUGGAGCUGACCGGUACUAAUAGGCCGAGGACUUGACCAC
Molecule: ribosomal RNA, 1508 nt
Filed under: metagenome
Description: bacterial LSU rRNA
Rfam family: Bacterial large subunit ribosomal RNA
Source: RNAcentral